Molecule: ribosomal RNA, 222 nt
Filed under: uncultured bacterium
Lineage: Bacteria
Description: partial 16S ribosomal RNA
Rfam family: Bacterial small subunit ribosomal RNA
Source: RNAcentral
ACGCUCGACACCUACGGAGGCCGCAGUAGGGAAUCUUCCACAAUGGACGCAAGUCUGAUGGAGCAACGCCGCGUGAGUGAAGAAGGUCUUCGGAUCGUAAAACUCUGUUGUUAGAGAAGAACACGAGUGAGAGUAACUGUUCAUUCGAUGACGGUAUCUAACCAGCAAGUCACGGCUAACUACGUGUCAGCAGCCGCGGUAAUCUGAGCGGGCUGGCAAGGC